AACGUUACCUUAAAUGGAAGCAUACAUUUUUUGCUGGAAGAAUAAGUGCUUCUCUUUGGGGUAGCCAUA
Molecule: microRNA precursor, 69 nt
Filed under: Salmo salar (Atlantic salmon)
Lineage: Eukaryota; Metazoa; Chordata; Actinopteri; Salmoniformes; Salmonidae
Description: miR-430 microRNA precursor family
Rfam family: miR-430 microRNA precursor family
Source: Rfam by way of RNAcentral